RNAcentral lists this transfer RNA (361 nucleotides) under uncultured Microcystis sp. RNAcentral's name for it is "partial 16S-23S ribosomal RNA intergenic spacer". The stretch from base 136 to 209 matches the Rfam family "tRNA". Lineage: Bacteria; Bacillati; Cyanobacteriota; Cyanophyceae; Chroococcales; Microcystaceae. The record is from RNAcentral.
AAAGGGAGACCUAAUUCAGGUAAGAGACGAAAAAAAAGUAGUCGCUACCAAGAAUCAAUCCCAAAAGGUCGGAGCGAGGCGAAAUUGGCUUUCAAACUAGGUUCUGGGUUCAAACAAGACCCGAAUCAGGAACAAGGGCUAUUAGCUCAGGUGGUUAGAGCGCACCCCUGAUAAGGGUGAGGUCCCUGGUUCGAGUCCAGGAUGGCCCACCUGCACAGGUGGCAAAAACAAGAGAAGCGAGGAAUCAGCACCUUAUCUUACUGACAUAGUAAGAGAGAAUGCUGGCUCUGAGUAAAGAGUCCAGAGGAACCUUGAAAACUGCAUAGAGCUAGGUGAAAAAGCCAAAAAAGAAGACCGCAAG